AUUGAACGCUGGCGGCAUGCCUUACACAUGCAAGUCGAGCGGAUGAAGGGAGCUUGCUCUCUGAUUCAGCGGCGGACGGGUGAGUAAUGCCUAGGAAUCUGCCUGGUAGUGGGGGACAACGUUUCGAAAGGAACGCUAAUACCGCAUACGUCCUACGGGAGAAAGCAGGGGACCUUCGGGCCUUGCGCUAUCAGAUGAGCCUAGGUCGGAUUAGCUAGUUGGUGAGGUAAUGGCUCACCAAGGCGACGAUCCGUAACUGGUCUGAGAGGAUGAUCAGUCACACUGGAACUGAGACACGGUCCAGACUCCUACGGGAGGCAGCAGUGGGAAUAUUGGACAAUGGGCGAAAGCCUGAUCCAGCAAUGCCGCGUGAGUGAUGAAGGCCU
This 386-nucleotide ribosomal RNA is filed under the name uncultured bacterium. Its description in RNAcentral is "bacterial SSU rRNA". It matches the Rfam family "Bacterial small subunit ribosomal RNA", at positions 30 to 417 of the family's 1533-position model. The record is from RNAcentral.